GUCUACAACCAUAGCACCCUGAAUGUGUCUGAUCUCGUCUGAUCUCAGAAACUAAGCAGGGUUCCAACACAGGAUCCAACCAUUUUGGAGC
RNAcentral lists this ribosomal RNA (91 nucleotides) under Phascolarctos cinereus (koala). The record is from RNAcentral. Lineage: Eukaryota; Metazoa; Chordata; Mammalia; Diprotodontia; Phascolarctidae.